Molecule: RNA transcript, 15078 nt
Organism: Rattus norvegicus (Norway rat)
Lineage: Eukaryota; Metazoa; Chordata; Mammalia; Rodentia; Muridae
Gene: Cryzl2
Gene name: crystallin zeta like 2
Source: RefSeq, marked validated
AACCAAAGAAGGGCUCAAGGAUUGUAUAUCCCGUGAUCUAGCCCUAGAAGCAGGGUGGGGCUGACAGUCCCCAGCACAGACAGACUGAGCUCCGCCUGCCUGUCGGGUUAAGGGUUCAGAGCUGGAGCGUCCUCGGACGCCUUUCCGCUCUCCCCUGGGCUCUUCCUGCCACCCGCUGGCCACGCCCUUCGCCGACAUCCUCUGGUCAUGGCGGCGCGGCUGUGUGCGCGGUGCCUCCCUCCGGCGUGGCUCUGCAGGCAAGCCGGGCAGGGUCAAAGCCGGCACUACCGAGCUGCAGUCUGCACCGAGUUGAAGCAGCCCCUGACCAUUCAAGAGGUGGCUCCUCGCCCUAUCGGGCCACAGGAGGUCAGAGUCGAUGUUCAUUUCUGUGGCAUUAACUUUGCUGAUAAUUUGGUCUGUCGUGGUCAGUAUCAGGAAAAGCCUCCUCUUCCCUUUACACCUGGAAUGGAGUUUUCUGGGGUUGUCUUAGAGGCAGGAGCAGAUGUCAGCACCGUGAAAAAGGGAGAUCGUGUUAUUGGAGUGAGUAACUUCCACUCGAUGGCCGAACAAUGCAUCACUGACCAGAAGACCCUGUGGCGGAUUCCAGAAAACGUCUCUUUGCAAGAUGCUGCGGUCCUACCAGUAUCUUAUGGCACAGCUAUUUUGGCUGUAGAUCAUCGGGCCCGUAUCCAGCCUGGAGAGACUGUUUUAGUGACAGCAGCUGCCGGAGCCACAGGCCUCGCAGUGAUAGACGUGGCGACAAACGUAUUCUGUGCCAAGGUCAUAGCUGCAGCUGGGAGCGACGAGAAAUGCAAGCUGGCGAUGCAGAGGGGAGCACAGUCCGGCGUGAACUACAGCCAGGGCAGCCUGAAGGAUGCAGUGAAGAAGCUGGUGGGCAGCAGUGGGGUGAAUGUGGCCAUUGACAUGGUGGGAGGAGAUGUCUUCCUGGACUCUCUCCGCAGCCUGGCGUGGGAGGGCAGGAUUGUGGUGUUGGGAUUCGCCGGAGGAAACAUCGCAUCCGUGCCCAGCAACCUGUUGCUCCUGAAGAACAUCUCUGCCAUGGGCCUGUACUGGGGUCGCUACCAACACCAGGACUUUGCAGUGUUUUCCAAGAGCAUGUCCACAGCCCUGCAGUACUGCCAGCAAGGGCUCAUCCACCCACACACUGGUGCUGUCUUCAAGCUGGAGAAGGUCAAUGAUGCCUUCCUUCAUGUGAUGCAGCGCAAAUCCACGGGCAAGGUGCUCCUGUCCCUCAAGUAAAUCCUGACCUGGGUAGAUUCCCAAGUCUGAUCUCCCUCACCAGUUUUAAAGGGCUCAUCCUUAGUGACCCAAGUGCCACGUCUUGGUGUCAGUUCCCUUUGCUUCCGCUUUCUUGGUGCCCAUAAUCAGUGUGACCACAGAGGUUCUUGCCUAAACUCAACCCUAUCUGUGAGCAAAAGGUACUGUGAGUUCCUUGAGAAGUAGGUACUGUGUCUGGAUCACCUGCUGACUUCCUAUACCUUCUGCUAUUCAAUUUAAUUUAUCUGGAAUCUUAAAUUGUGGGAUUAAAUGAAGAACAUGUUGCCCUGGAAACAACCCCAAUGCCCUUUGACGGGUGAAUAUAUAAAUAUGCACACUUUGCAUAGGUAUUGUAUAAUGUGCAUACAUCAGAAUAUUUUUAGCCUUAAAGAGGAACAUCAUUCACAGACAUGCUACAAUAUGUAUCAACUUUAAGGCCAUUCUACAUGAAAUAGAACAUAUUAAAAAAAGAAAAUGACAUGUGCUCUGUAAGUCCACUUAUAUCAGAUUCUGUCACCCAUCAAGUUCAACAAGAGAUAAAGGGGAAUGGUGGUCACAGGGGCCCCCUUGGAGUAUAUCCUGGUAAAUGUGACACCCCUUUGCGGGGAGAUAGGGAGUUACUUAAGUCAUGUGGAGUUUCAAGAUGGGAAGAUGGAAAAUCAGUGGAAAUGGGUGGCAGUCGUGAAUGCCAUAACGAACUACUGAAGUAUGCACAUUCAAUUGUUUUAAACAGCUUUCAAUGACUUCUCGAUUCUUCCUCAGAUACUGGCUGCUGCAGAAAUCACUCCCAUGGCCCUGCCUCUCCUUUCAGCAAUGGUCUCCUGGUCCACUUGCACAUGUCUCUUUCUCCAAACUGGUGUAAAAGGCUGGGGUGGGGGGUAUAGCUCCAUGGCAGAGCAAUUGCUUGGCACUUGUCAGAUCUUGGGUUCAAUCCCCAACACUGACUCCCACAAACGGUCAGCAACCAAAGUGAAGUUUUCUGCUCUGAGCCAAGGAUUGUUGCUAUCUGCUUCCGACAAGUGUGCUCGGUAAUAUUCCCUCCUAUGCACAUGUGUGAGGCUAGAAAACAAUCUAUGAUCUAUGAUAAAGAUAACAAAUAUGUUGUUAACAAGUGAAGGACUAGAGAUGUCUUCAUCCACUCGCCUAGAUUUCAUUUUAAAAAGUUUAUUAAACUAGGGGAAAAAUAGGCUAUUCCUUCUUACAUUUUCCUUCUAGGAUUAUAUAAGGGAAUCAAAUAAAAGUGAUUUUUUUCAAAGUCCUCUUUGUGCUGGAUUCUGAUUUUUCCAGUUCUUUUUUAUCUCAGAGCAUUAUUGCUUCGAUGCUGGCCUGCAUGGGACACACACUGCUUUCUGGAGCUCUCUCAUUGCUGGGGAAUCAAGUACGAAGUACUGAGCACAGGAAGGACUGUGGUGGACAGAAGCUACAAAUCUCGGCAAGGAGAUAGCUAAGUAAAGCACAGCAAAAAAACCCAAGCCAGAUGUGGUACUCUUGGAAGGCAGAAACAGGAUGAUCAUCCCAAGUUCGAGACCAACCUGGUCUAUAGAACGAGACUCUGUGUCAAGCAAACAAAAGAAAACACAACAAAGCUAACCUGGAGUCAGGUGAGGUAAAAUGGGGGCAGGGUCGGUGAGCAUGGCGAGAUGGUUCUAGAAAUAGAGACCAGGGCACAUAUUGGUUUGAAGGCAAUUGAUGAGGACUUUGACUUUGCGGUAAGAGCAAUGGGAGGCCCAUGAAGUAUUUUAGCAGGAAUUGGAUGUGAUCAGAAUAGCCUUUUAGAUUUCCACCAUCUAUUGGGGGGUGGGUGAAGGGAGCAGAUCAGGGAUGAGUGUAGAGCUGUGCAGGGGCUGAAGGUGAAGGGACUUGUCCUUGGAUUGGAUAUAGGUACAGAAUGGAGGAAAACGUGUCAAGGUGACACCAACUUUCUGGACAUACAUUUCACCAUGAAAGAGUUGGGUUUUGGCAACAGAGCGGGGCAUAAUUAAAGAGACGGAGUUCUUUACAUAUUGAGAUCUCCAAGAGUGUUACGUAUCUGCUCUGAAGAGAGGCAUGUGGGAGUCUUUUGCCUGUAGGUGGUUGAGAUGGUGUGGUUGAGAUGGCCCUGUCAUGUGAGAAAGGGGGAGUGUGUAGACUCUGAGGACCUUUUGAAGACCCCUGACAGAAGCUGUAGAGGGACAGCUUGGGAUUUAAAAUGAGUGACAAGCAGUUAUAAGGAAGGUUGCUCCAUGCAGUGACUGAAGCACCAUCUCCUGCAGGGAGGGCCAGGGGCUGGAGCUCUAGCCCCAGCUCUUUGAUCUUGGGCUAGACUCAUCUUCCCUUUCGCCUGUAAGGAUAAUGGUAUGUAUUCUUCUGCAUCUUGUGGUUCAGGUGAGGGUCAGAGGAGAUGCUGUAGGGAAAGGGCUUUGCAAACUGCCUUGUAUCUGUGUGUUUAACUUCACUUCAGAAUCAAAGGAAAAGGCAUGCCUUUUCAGCAUAUGUUGAAUUGACAUGGAGCAAAGGGACUGUUUGAUUUUUUUUAAAAAAUGUCUCUAAAAAGGCUUUUUACAUUGUAGCUGAAGUCAUUGUGCCCCUUUAUACAGAAUAAUAGACAAAGUGAUGGGGGCUGGUGAUUUGAUGUACUUCAAAGAUACCCAGAGCCAGUCAAGGUCUACAGAAGGACAUCUCACUUGAUCAAGAGUGCAAAAAGCAUAUUUUUAAAAAGGAAGGGGUGAUAAAAAGAAUUAGGGCUCUUCAUUCUGGAAAGCCACAGGCUAAGAAAAGAGCAUGAUUGAAAUUUAUGAAAUAAUGAAAAUCAUAGGAUAAAAAUAUGAACUUAUUAAGUCCCAGUGGAUAAAACUAAGAAGACAAAAUUUUUUUUAAAAAUCAUUUUAAAGAAAUAGUUUUAGGGCAAAGUAAAAAUAGUAGUUCUUUUUACCCAGGAAUGGUGAGCGCAAAGAUCUUAUUACUCUCAAAGUUUGCCAGGACUCAAAUCAAAUCAAAGAGAGAUUUACAAUAUUACAGGUCAGAUUCAUGGGGGAAUCAUAAAAGUAACCUAAAAUAAUGUGGUAAAAUUGCCCGUGUCUUGAAGGAAAAAGUCAUGGGGAUUGGGUGGCCAUUAGGCUUCCUGUCUCUGUCUGAUUCAAAGAAGGAUUCUAAGUGGGCAUGCUGAGAAUAGCAGGUACAGAGAAAAUAAGAGAGCCUACUUGCAAAUAUGACCUCCCUGACCUUCUGGAGUCACUUCUUAAUUUAACUUGGUUUUUUUUUUUUUUUAAUUUUCACAUGUGUGUGUGCAGGCGUGCAUGUGCAUGCACAGAUGUGCACAUGCAUGUGAAGACCAGAGGUCAACUGUGGGGGUCCUUUGCGAGCUAUCUGCCUUGAUUUUUGAGACAGGCUGUCUCUGGGAUCUCGGCCCUUCUGAUUAGGCUAGACUGGUUGACCAGUGAGCCUAUGGACCCACCUGUGUCUGCCUCCUCUGUGACCCUGUGGGGACCCUGGCCCUAGGCCCCAUGUCAGGACGGCUCACCCAUCACUUCUUACUCCACAGUUUCCUUUUCAGACGACAAACUUUCUGACUUAAGCUCUAUCUCCUCUUUUAGAGGUUCUUUUUAAAAUGUUAAAAAUAUCCACAAGGAGAGCCUGCAGUGCUCCCCUUCACUGACCCAGAUAGUUUAAGAGCAGGUAUUUUAAGAGACUGGCAGCGGCUUCUCAUCUGGGGACACAGGCUGGCUUCAGGAGCCAAGGAACUCAAUGCAAUAAUAAAAUAUUAAUCCUAUUUCCCGUAUGCGAAGCGCUCCUCUUGUGCUCUCUUCUUCCCUAAUCCCCCCUUAUCCUUCAGGGUAAAGUAGGAGAAGCUCUGGAUUUCAGGGCAAGAGUCUCCUGAGUUAAGAGUUACCUGAUCUUGGGUGAAUCACUUCACACCUGUGAAUCUUGGUUUUCCCAUCCAUAAAACAGAGACGCUAGAGUCUCACAGUGAGGGGGCCAAGGGACAUUGCCUAGACAAGUUGGUUGGUAGAGAAGGACCCAAAGAAGUACCAAACUCCAGAUAAUCCAAUUGGAUAACCAUGGGGUCAAUAAUCUCUAUUUUUGAGCUUCUAUAUUGGUCUAUCUACAUAAUACAGAUGGGUUUUUAUUUUAGUCUGAUUUUUUGAGACAGGGUCUCUCUGUGGAGCCCUGGCUGGCCUCGAACUCAUAGAGACCCACCAGCCUCUGCCUCCAGAGGGCUGGAACUAAGAGACUGAGCCACCAUGGCCAGCUGCAGUUGAACUUUUGAUAUUGGCUGUAAUUUGCUCACAUUCCCAUCUGGUACAUAAAUUCCUUGCAGGCUGGGGCUGUGCAUUUUUUCUUUUUUUUCUAUGUCAGUGUUGCAAGAAUGGGUACUUAAUCCCUGGUAAUUGGUUGCUGGAGCCCAUUGCCAUAACUUUAAUUUUUUAAUCUUAUUUUUAACGAUGGUUCUUAAAUGCUUUAACUUCUCUUGUAGUCCACCACCAACAGAGGCAGUGGAAAAGAAAGGAUAGAGGGGAAGUGGACUUGUUUAGAAAGGUUUUUUUGGAGUUGGCAGUUCAGUUUACAGGUUAGCAGGCAGUGGCAGCUUGAUCCACUCACAAACACGUCACCGAUAUGCCAGCAGUUCAGUUCAGUAGAGUUAGGCUAGCAACAACGGUGACAUCACCUAGUAGAGACAGCCUCGGUUCGAGUCAGCAGGAGAGACCAAUAGGAACACCAGGAGAAGUUCUUCUGUACCUCCCUCAGGGAAGCAAAGAGACUCACAAGCAUUGCACAGCUAGCUGUACCAGCAAGCCAAGCUCUCUCCCUCUGUUGAGUCCUAUUUAUGCCCUCCAAACGUCACGGGUCCUCCAUGCCUUGCCUCUGCACAGGUCUUGCCUUAGCAUGGGUCUUGUCUCAGCAUGUGUAUUCAAUCAGCUCAAGUCUGCUGAGUCUGGACAAAUGGAGCUCGACGACACAAUGUAAAGCAGACUGAUACAUGCAUGUUAGCAAAGAAUCAUUUAUCAUGUGUUCUUUCACAUGUUUGUUUUAGCAGAACGUCCUCUCUCCUGUGUCUGCUUUAACUAAGCUUUUCUUUAUGAGUCUUAGUUUUUUACCUGUGUCCACUUCAAGAAAAUACUCUUUCAUGUGUUUGCCCCAGCAAAACACCAUCCAGCACAACUGACUCUACAAAGAACCCUUAAGUUUCUACUUUACAUUGCCCAUUUAACUAAACUUGGGAUUUGUCCACAACACAGGCCAUUUCCUCUGCCUUUAACUCUCCAUGUGCACUGACUAUGCUCUGCUAAUGGGCAGAUAGCGGGAGUCCUUUAAGACUCUCAUUACCUUGUCAAUUCGUGGCUUCACAUCAAAUAUGAGCUCUUUGUGUAUUUGAAGAUAUCGCUGACCUGCCCUGAAUGGGAACUUUAAAUUGAUUCUAUGGAUGGGUUUUCCCUGAAUCGGCCAUUCUUUCCCUCAGGCGUGUUUAAGGACCCCUGCUCCCACCCCCAUGCUUCCCUUCUAGAUCACUCUUUCCUCUGCUUGGCAAAGGAGUCCACUGCUGACCCUCUUCUAGCUGUGGGGGCAGAGAGAUUUCACUGUGGCCCUAGGAGCCCGUGUUCUUCUCGUAUGAAUGAUCCUAACUGCCUCUAAGUCAUGAACCCUUUGUUGAAUUGUUCCAUACAAAGAAUAUGUGGACGUUGUAGGACUCUAUAACCUGUGAAUAUAACAUUAUUUUGGACAUGUAUAUUUGCAUCUAUAAUCCAGUAAAGAUUAGGUAUUCUAGGGAAAGAGACGUUUAUGCAGUAAUGGUUCAGAUGUAUUCCAUAGCCUCAUAUGUCUGAGUUUGAAGUCCUCAGGGGGCAGCACUGUUUUGUGAGGUUGUGAAACCUCUUUGGAUAUGGGACCUUGCUAAUGGAGAUAGGGCCAUAGGAACAGAUUUUAAGGACAAUGGUCCAACCUUGCUUCUGGUCUAGCCUUUUCUGUUUCCCAGUUAGCCACCACUAGAGAUGUGAGGGGACCACCUCAUGUCCCCACUGCCAUAAACACUGCCACCUAUGUCUGUGUCAGGUAUUUUGUCUCAUUGAUGAGAAAAGUAAUUAAUACACACACAUGCAUGCACAUAUGCUCAUACAGAAUGCUCAUAGAGCGAAGAUUGCCACAUGAAGACAGAGACAGAAAGUGGAGUGUUGCAGCCAUGAACCAAAAACAGUCAGGAUGGUUGGAAGCCAGCCGGCAUGGAGAAUAGGCAAGGUUAACGUUUGGUUUUGAACUUCUGGCUCUGGAACAAUGAGAAAAUCAGUUCUUACAGUUUCACGUCUCUGUGUUUAUGGUACUUUGUUUAUGGAAGCUGUAGGAAAUUAACAUGCUGCCUAGGAUUCUAAAUAAAACACAACCAUGCUUCACAUAACAUCCUCCAGCCCACAGUGGACCACAGAUGUCAGAGUCGUCCUGUAAUAUUGGAGCAGAAUUGAAAGUUUCUGCCUAGUGACUUUGUGGCCAGGGAAUGAUCAUCAUAGUAUGACGCGUCACUCACAUGCUCGUGGUGAUGAUGGUUUAAACAAGCCCAUUGUGAUGUCAGCUGAAUAGCGUACAGCAUACAACAGUCAUACAGGCCAAUGACACAUGACUGCUUCUGGUUCAUGUCAGUCCACCACACGUACUUCUUAGUGUUAUGCUAGGAUAGAGUUUUCUGUAAACAGUAGGCAGCAGCCUCCUACCAGACAUCUCAGGCUUUACCACAACUCUUGAUUGCGGCAGAAACCGCAGUGAGUGACUUACACAAUGUAGGUUUGAGUGUUUGCUCUUUGGUGUCUGCGUGGUCACUGUCACUUCACAAGGCACAUUUCAGGAUGUAGCCUUGUCAUAAAGUGACAUGUGACUGUGUCUACACAAGGGAGAAAUACAAUUGAUUAUCCCUGUCUCCAGAAGGGCUAUAGUCACAAUCCUGCCAUGCUUUAUUGGUGAUCACCUAAGUAAAAGACUUCAAGCCUCUGAUUCCUACACAAUUCUGUGUGUAUCUUCUGUGUAUGUAUUGGGCAUGUGUGGUUUAUGCACUGGUGUAUGUGUGUAUAUACAUGUAGAGGCCAGAGACUAACAUCCUGUGUCUUCUUUGAUUGCUCUCUUCCUUAAUUUUUAAAGGUUUAUUUAUUUUAUUUUAUGUGUAUGAGUAUUUUGCCAGCAUCUAUGGAUGUGCACAAUGUGUGCCUGGUGUCUGUGGAGGUCAGAGGAAGUACCUGGUUCUCUGGAAUAGAGUUUCAGAUGGUUGUGAGCCAUCAUGUGGAUGCUGGGAAUGGAAGCUGGGUCCUCUGUAAGUAAGCAUUUCAACUGCUGAGCCGUCUCCAGCCCUGUCCACCUUUCCUUUCUUUUUUCUCUUUUUUUCCUCCCCCUCUCCCUCCCUUCUCUCCCUCCCUCCUUUCCCCUCCCUAUUCUCUCUCUUUCUUUCUUUUUUUGAGACAUAUCCUCACAUUGACCUCACUAUCCAGCUAUGCUGACCAGCUAGCAAGUGUCAGCCUGUAUCUUUCCUUCCCAGCCAACUCUGCUGGGGCUCUCAGAUCUCCAACCUGCUUAGUUCCUAGUCAUCUUUUCUCCCACCCACACUGUCGUACUCACACAUUUGUGACACACACACACUGUCACAUUCACAUACUGCCAUACUCACAUACUGUUACACUCACACUGUUAUACUCACACGGGUCACACUCACACACUGUUGUACACACUCUGACAUCAUACACCAUGACACUCACACACUGUGACACUCACACACUGUCAUACUCACACCAUUGCAGUCAUACACAGUCACACUCAUACACUGUCACAGUCUCAUAUUGUUAUACUGUAACACUCAUACACUGUCACACUCAGACACUAUCACACUGUUACACUCACACAUGGUCACACACACUGUCAUACACACUGUGACACUCACACACUAUGACAUUCAUACACUUUGACACUCACACACUGUCACAUUCACAUACUGUCACACUCACACACUAUGACACACACUAUGACACUCAUACACUGUCAUAUACAUUGUGACACACACACUGUCACAGUCAUGCACUGUCACACACUGUGACACUUACACACUAUGACACACACUGUCAUAAUCACACACUGUCACACACAUUGUUACACUCACACACUGUCACACUCACAUACUCUCACACUCACACACUGUCACACACAUACUGUCACAAUCACACACCGUCAUACACACUGUCACAUUCAUACUGUUACACACACACACUGUGACACUCACACACUGUCACAGUCAUGUACUGUCACACAUACUGUUAAACUCUAUCACACUCACACACUGUUAUACUCACACACUGUCACACACUGUGACACACACUGUACACUCACACUAUCACACUCACAAUCACACACACUGUUACACUCACAUACUGUCACACACAUUAUUAUACUUGUACACUGUCACACUCACACACUGUUGCACUCGUGCACUGUCGCAGUCACACAUUGUCACAAUCAUACUCUAGAGAUGACCCAGAGCUCCAGCUGAUCCUCUCUCUGCACCUACGUCGCUGUCCCAUUCUUUGAGGGGCUGCUUUACAACUUGUGGCUACCAAACAACUCCCUCUGCUGUCUCUGGGCUUCUCACUCCACCAUGGUGAUAACUCCACGCCAUUUCCAGACAUUUGCACUCACUGUCACUCUCUGUGGACACUUCCACCCAUUCAUCACCAUGGAAACCCCUCACGGGCUACAUCUCCCCUAGGAGAAGUAUUCUCUGAGGCUUUUACCCAAGGGAGGCUGGCAACCCCGCCCUGGCCGUGGCUCUUCUGACUCUUCCUCACAGUCUUUUAACACUCUCAUCAUCUGACAUUCGAUGAUCAUUUUUACUCAUUUACUUUUUUGUAGUCGGGGUUCCUAUCUCCUUCUAUAGCGAAUAGGUUCUGCAAGGGCUUCCCAUCGGUCUGCCUGGUUCAUCUCUCCAGGCUCAAUACCAGCACAGUGCCUGGCACACAAAAAGACUUCAGGGAGCCCGUGGAAAACAGGGGAACGAAUCUAUGAGCUGUAGUUUUGAGCUGUUAGCUAGAAGUCAUUGAGGUUUCCAGUUCUUGAUCUUUACUGGACCUGGAUUUGAAAUCUGGUUCUCUGCUGGCUAGCUGUGGGACUUUGAACCAAGCACUUAGCUUCUGAGUGAAGAUCGUGUUUUCUUUUCUCACCUGUCAUAGAGAAGACAGACAACACAGCACUGCUGGAUUGAUGACAUAAACCUGUAUAGAAAAUAUAGCACAGAGCUGUCCACACUAAACAUUAGAUAAACACUAAGUAACCUAAUACUAUGUGACAGGCAUGAGCCACAGACGGCAACAGGUUUCUGAGUGUUUUGCCUGAAGUUACUCAAGUAUAUUUCACAGUACCUCUUGGGGUGGCUAUUGUUAACCCCAUUUAAUAGAUAAGAAAACUGAGGCUCAGAGAGACCCAGUGAUUUAGUUAAAUGGAAUUGGAGAGUGGUAGUCAGAGUCAGGCACCCUGCCUAGUCACAUGUCUUCACAGCUACACAGGGCCACCACACUUGCUGCCUCGACUCUAAACCUGGGCUUCUCACAUACCAUUGCUCCCAGGGAGGUCAGGACUUUUAUUCACCACUUGCCUCAGUGUCAUGGAUAAAUGUGAGAAUUUUUAAUACAUUAUAAACUAGGAACUUACACUAGGGGAUAGAGUUUAGAGUUCUUUUUGAGGAGAAAUGUUUAUUUUUAUUUUCUGUUGUGAGUUUUAUUUCAGACUGCUCAAGAUGCUGGCAAACACAUGGGCAAGCAGCACACUCCAAAAACAUCGGCUAUAGCAUUUCCGUCUUUACUCAGUUGUUUAGCAAUAAGCGGAUAGAUUGAAUAACUUCUUCAAUUCCUCUGAGGUAUCCGAGCCAGGGAAUGCAGGGCCAUUAAUGUCUGGGUACAUCUUUGCUGCAUGUAUAUUUCCAUGGGUAUUUACUUGUAUCAUACAUGUUAUUCAGUUGAGUGGUUAUUAACAAAAUAAGAGAUAGUUGAUUGCAAGACAAGAUGCAAAUAUAAGUCAGAUUUAAGUAUUCUCUGCAUAAAUCUAAGGAAGUGUUUUUUGCAUACAAAGCGAGAAUGUGCAUGUGACAGCCAGUUUUGGUCGGGAAUUGCUAGAUCUUAAUUUAGCAAUGCCUCCACCAGGCGUUUCUUUGAUUAAUGAGUGAUAUGUGAGGGCCCACAUCACAGGGCAGUGCCAUACCUGCACAGUAACAUUCGCUUUUAAUAAUAAAAGCAAAUAUGGCUUGAUCUCAGAUCUCGAGGCCCUGAGUUUUACUGUAUGGACUUGGGCACAUUAUUUAACCUCUCUGAACCUUCAGUUCUUUCCAUCUAGAAUGAUAGGACACCUUAGUGGAUAAAUGUCACCCCCAAAUUCAUGUGUUAACAAUCCUGACAUCCUACGUGGUGACCUUAGCAGCAGGGGCAUGAUCAGGACUUGAGGGUAAAGGUUUCAUGAAUGAGAUUCAUGUGCUUUUAAAGGGGGAAAGGAGGGAGCCUUUAUCAUCCCACCAUUCCAACAUGUAUUAAGUUAUGGUUUAGACAACCAACUAGAGGAAAGUGUGCUUCAUAAAACACAGACACACACACACACACACACACACACACACACACACACACCAAAUCUGCUGGUGUCUUCACCCUGGCCUUCCCAGUCUCCAUAACUAGAUAAAAAUAAAUUUUUGUUUAUAAGCCAGUCAGCUAGGGUUAUUUUUAGGAUUUUAAAAAGAAGUAAAUCACUACUGUGAAUAAUUGUUUAUUAUUUAGUUUUACAUAAGACAAACAUAUUUAUAUUUCUUUCUGAUUACUUAGUUUUUCAUAGGGAAAAAUAAGAAAUUUACUUUCAAAUAUAGAGAGUAAAAUAAAAGUCACCUGAAAUAUCACUACUUAAAAUACCUUUUUGUUGUUUUUUGAUGUUGUUUGCUUUUUUUAAGACAACAUUUUGCUAUGUAUCCCAGGGUAGCUUUCAACUCUGGGUCCUCCUACCUCUGCUAGAAAGACAGUUGUGUGGUCACCACAUCUCACACUUAUUUGGGUUAUUUUUGUAGUUGAAAGUAACAGAACAUUAAAAAAAACCUUACAUUAUAAAUUUUUAUUAUAAAAGACUUGUAAUAAAUAUGAAUAUCACACACCAAAAUUAACUAGAUGCAAAGUAUGUGCAACCUAAUGAGUGUCUGUACGGGCUAGGAUAGGCACCCAGGAUGGGCAGAAGCUGUGAUGAUUUCUAUCAGACUCUACACUUUUAGUAUGGAGUUUAUUUUUAUGCAACCAAAGGAAAAAAAUCCACGACAGAAUUAGAACUAGAAAAAAAGUUAUAUCUAUGGCCUUCCCAGUCUCCAUAACUAGAAAAAAUAAAUUUCUGUUUAUAAGUCAGUCAGCUAGGGUUAUUUUUAGGAAUAAAAAAAGAGUAAGCUACUACUGUGAAUAAGUUAUAUUCUCUUUCAUAAUGGACACUAGUUUUUUUAAAAAAAUAAAUCUUAGAAGAAAUCUAUAACUCAUCAAUUUUCCUGAAGCUGCAGCUCUUCCUUAUGCAGGUCUGCCUUUUCUGGUCCAGCCAAUACACGCAUGUGACAUGUGCCUUCUGAGUCACACAUAUGUUUACUUGAUAUAUCGGAUACAUGGCCUUAUGGUGAUUGAACAUCUUGAAUUUUCUAAACUUUCCACAUUAGAAAUUUGUUAUUCAUUUAAUUUUGUCUAUCCACAUACUUCCUUUGACUUAUCGAUCAAUUUUUCUCAUAAAUAUAUUUUGAUCAUGUUUUUCUGCUUCCUCAAUUCCUCCCCACUUAAAAAAAAAGGUUUAUUUAUUUAUAUGAGUACAGUGUUGCAUACCACUUCUGGUGUCAGAAACACCAGAAGAGGGCAUCAGAUCUCAUUACAGAUGGUUGCGAGCCACCAUGUGAGUGCUGGGAAUUGAACUCAGGACCUCUGGGAGAGCAGUCAAUGCUCUUAACCACUGAGCCAUCUCUCCAGCCUUCCAGUUUGGUUUCAUUAAAAAAAAGGGGGGGGGGACUCUCUCCUGUGUUCUAGUUGUGAAACAUUUGUUUGUUAUUUGGUUAUUUAUCAGUAAGAACUUACAUUAUUCAGUUUCUUGCUGUUGGAAUAGAGGACGGCUUGGUUCAUGGCCUGCCAAACAUCAUUUUGAAACAGGCAUUUCCAUAAAUGAUUCUGCAGCCAUCCCUGGCAGCAUUAUUUGAAGUAGUCCGGGCUGAACACCGCUUCCAGCAUUAUCCCUGUGUCAGCCUGUGGUCUGGGGUUCCUUUUUCAUUCCUCAGAGCAGGAGGAUAUAGCUUGCUUCUGAUAAACUCCUUUCUGAAGGGGAGGGUUGUAGAGCUCAGGACUAGAUCAGUGUUUUUCAUUCUUCCUGGUGUGGCUUGUCUGUCCCAGAAAAGUCUCAGAAGGUCUUUAGCGUUUGUGAGUGUGUCUGGAACGAGAAAGAACCCACAAACACGACUGCUAGCGCCCCUCCCCACCCCCAAGCCUACUUAAGAUUCAGCAAAAGAUUCAGAAGCAUAAGGGUUCCGGCAAGCUACCACUUGCCAAUGGUUUUCACUUAAUAAAAACACCGUUAUUAUUUUUUCUUUUCCAAUUACCUAAAUAGUUUCCCCUGAGGGAGCAGAAUUGAUACACACUUAAAACUAUACAGUAAAAGAAAAAUCGUCUAGAAUCCCACUGCUUUAAGGUAUCUAGUUAGCACUUCAUGAACGGACAUUCUUUUAAGCACACACACUACUCACAAAGAGACUAUUUUAUAGAAACAGGACAUAUUAGAUGCCAUUUCGCUGGAGCCUUUGAAAAAGUAGCUUCCGUUUUGCCAAUGCUUUCCCAGAGGAAGGAAAUAUUAGCAGCUGCCACCACACACCUUUUAUGACCUUUUUCAAUGUAGGUGCACAUAACUGAUAUGUAAUUUUUACAUAAUCGUACAUAAUCGUAUAUGUGUGUAACACAGAAAAAGGGAUGAUACAAUUUUUCCAUGUCACAACUCAGAAAAUGCCAUAUAUUAAUGGGGUCAGCUCUGAAAUGUUCGUUAUUAUUAGACUUGCCUUACAACAUAGUCGUAGUAAUUUACUCAAUCAUGUCCCUAUUUUUAAGCCAAAAACUUUUCAAUAUUUUGCCAUUCUAAACUCAUUGAUUUUUUUUUUUUAAAUAUGAGUUACCAUUAAUCCUGAUACAGUUUUGAGGUGGACCGCUUACUAAGUUGCUGUCAUGAUUGCUAAGAAAGCCAGUGUGAUGUUUAGUGUCUUCUGGAAUUUCCAUGGGGGUAUUCAGAGGGCUGCGUGGUUGCCCUCUGUUCUUUGAAGUUGUGCCCCUUUUAGUGGGACCGUCUCAAUGAGGUGAUCAGAUCAUGUUUCCAGCCUCAGGAGCUGCUACUAAAUUAUUCCGUGGGGAAACUGUUGCUGAAGCAGAAAUGUUCCGUGUGGCUGACGUGGCACGGCAGCUUGCAGUGUCUGCCAGCUGUGAGUAACAGCAGGCUGUCAGGAUGGGAUGUAGCAGAAGCCGCUCCAGCAGCUCCUGAUUUUGGAGCAAAGAUAAAUCCUCUGAUUGAUUUGCUGUGAAGUUCUUCAUUUGGUGACUAAUGCAGAUGUACCGGAUGAGCCUGGCAAAAUCUCUGACCCUUUCUGGUCUUCUCUAUUGUUUCUCACAUGAACAGUCCCACGGAUGCCACUAGAGGAUGAAGGCUCUUAUUCUGGAUAUCAGUCCACUGUUGGAGGUACAGUUGGCAAGGACUUUCUUCCAUCCUGUGAGGCUGCCUCUUCACUUCACAGCUUCUUUCGCUCUAUAAAAGUUUUAAAAAUUAAAAAAAAAUCACUUUACA